Molecule: ribosomal RNA, 465 nt
Filed under: uncultured bacterium
Lineage: Bacteria
Description: partial 16S ribosomal RNA
Rfam family: Bacterial small subunit ribosomal RNA
Source: RNAcentral
GACGAACGCUGGCGGCGUGCUUAACACAUGCAAGUCGUACGGUAAGGCCCUUUCGGGGGUACACGAGUGGCGGACGGGUGCGUAACACGUGCGUAACCUGCCCACAACUUUGGGAUAACGCUAGGAAACUGGUGCUAAUACUGGAUAUGUGCUCCUGCUGCAUGGUGGGGGUUGGAAAGCUCCGGCGGUUGUGGAUGGACUCGCGGCCUAUCAGCUUGUUUGUUGGGUAGUGGCCUACCAAGGCGGCGACGGGUAGCCGGCCUGAGAGGGUGACCGGCCACAUUGGGACUGAGAGACGGCCCAGACGCCUACGGGAGGCGGCAGUGGGGAAUAUUGCACAGUGGGCGCAAGCCUGAUGCAGCAACGCCGCGUGCGGGAUGACGGCCUUCGGGUUGUAAACCGCUUUCAGCAGGGACGAAGCUUUUUGUGACGGUACCUGCAGAAGAAGCACCGGCUAACUACGUG